AGCGAACGCUGGCGGCAGGCUUAACACAUGCAAGUCGAGCGGGCACUUUCGGGUGUCAGCGGCGGACGGGUGAGUAGCGCGUGGGAACGUGCCCUCUGGUUCGGAAUAACUCAGGGAAACUUGAGCUAAUACCGGAUACGCCCUUUUGGGGAAAGGCUUGCUGCCGGAGGAUCGGCCCGCGUCUGAUUAGCUAGUUGGUGAGGUAACGGCUCACCAAGGCGACGAUCAGUAGCUGGUCUGAGAGGAUGAUCAGCCACACUGGGACUGAGACACGGCCCAGACUCCUACGGGAGGCAGCAGUGGGGAAUAUUGGACAAUGGGCGCAAGCCUGAUCCAGCCAUGCCGCGUGAGUGAUGAAGGCCUUAGGGUUGUAAAGCUCUUUUAUCCGGGACGAUAAUGACGGUACCGGAGGAAUAAGCCCCGGCUAACUUCGUG
RNAcentral lists this ribosomal RNA (435 nucleotides) under uncultured bacterium. RNAcentral describes it as "partial 16S ribosomal RNA". It matches the Rfam family "Bacterial small subunit ribosomal RNA", at positions 29 to 507 of the family's 1533-position model. The record is from RNAcentral.